GCUUUGCUCAAGAGGAAUGUUUGUCUACCUGUUUCAUCCUUAUUUCUACCUGCCUGAGGAGGAAAACAACAAAAAUGCUUCAAGCAGAAGCUGUUUUUUCCCAAAAAGGGCAGGUCUUUGGGACAGUGUCCUCUGAGGAUUCAGCUGUUGUGGUCGAUUUUGUGCAGAAAACAUUCAAAAACUACAGCAACGAGGCAGCAAAGCCCCAAGAUAGAUAUUAAUUGUUCCUGUGCAGAAGUGUAAUAGCAACCAGGUUUGGAGUUAUUGAGCCUUAUGGAGUUUGACACAGUCAGCAGCCACGUUGGGUGGAAAUCUUGGAAAUGAAUUAAAUGUAACUUUUUUUUAAUAGUAAUUUAUAGGUCAUUUAAGGCUUAAUGAUCUCUAUCCAGAGCUAUUGGCUUGGAAACUCUUGGGAGGAAUACACACGCAGAGAAACAGCCCAGCCUGCUGGUUGGGGAGAAGGGCUAAAUGCCCCAAGGACAUCUGCUUGGAGUCGCAUCACGUGUUGGGCAAUAGCCUUCAGAAAAGCACAGGGUAUAUCAGUGCUGGAGGAAGAUGAUGCAAUUGAAAUUCAGCUCUUGUAGGUCCCAAGGGGGAGAAGGGAAUAAAGGUCAAGUAGUGGUGCAAGAACAAAGGACUUGUGCUCAUGUUGGAAUACAUCUCUAAAAAAUAUGGGCAGGCAGGGGGGAGAUGGAGUGUGCAUAGUGUCCAUCUGUGCUCAGUAGCACUGUCAAGUAGCAGUGAGGCAGGAAUACCAAGUGUAGGCAUGCCAAAGAUUUCAGCUCCCAAGAAAUGACUUUUUACACUUCCAUCCUCUGGGGAGAAGGAAAGAGAAAUGAGAAAGGAGGGAGGUGAAUGCGGCAACGACAGAUUGAUUUCAGCUGCUCUCUUUCUUUGCUUUCUCCCAAAGAAAAUGGAGGUGGAACAAUUCCAAAGGCAAAGCUCAGAUGGGCGCUGACACUGCUGAGAGAGACCCAAGGCACCAUGUGUACAGGUGGGACAUCAUGUCACCUUAGGACUUCUUCAAAUGCAAACAUGAUCUCUGAUGGUGGAAUCUGCUGUGAUGUCCUGAACUCUGCUGUCUUCACUUCAUACACUUCAUUACAUCCCUGGGCUCCAGCUGUCUCCCGUGGUGCAGGCACUUCUUCACCAGUGGCUCUAAGAGCCUGAUCCUUGGUCAUAGCAUCACAGAGUCACGAAGGUUGGAAAAGACCUCUAAGAUCCCCAAGCCCAACCCCAACCCAUUCCCACCGUGCCCACUGACCACAUCCCCACGGUUCUGGAACACCUCUGGGGACGGUGACUCCACCACUCCCUGGGCAGCCUGUGCCAGUGCCCAACCACUCUUUUGGAGAAGUUUUUCCUAAUAUCCAACCUGACCCUCCCCUGGUGCAACGUAAAGCCAUCACCUCUCAUCCCAUCGCUGUCACCUGGGAGACCCCCACCUCGCCACAGCUUCCUUUCAGGGAGUUGUAGAGAGCUCGAUGGCUCUGUAAAGAGCUCUAUACUACUUUGAAAGACGGAUCAGCAUCAUAAGGUACAUAAGGAUAAUAUUUGCUUUGCAAAUGCAAACUAAAAGGCUGGCUCUUGCCAUAAAGCCUGAAGCCCACCUCCUAGCAGACCCCUUCUUGCUGUGUCUUGUACCUUCCAAUGAACCGAGGUCCUGUCAGACCACCAGCCUGAGAAAACACUGGGAUCCGUGGUUGCCUGCAGUGCCUUGCCUUCCCCAUUCCUUUUUUAUUCUGAGCACAGCAUCGUUAUUAGCAAUGAAGUUUUUAUAUGUUACAGUCAGCCCAGCCGGGUCAUGAUGUGCCAUAAAUCUUUGACAAGUCAAGCGCUGCCCCUUUCUGGGUACAGUAUAUGCUUGGCCCCAUUAAGAAUAAUAGCAUGAAUAACCAUAAGCCAUUAAUUUUGACGAGAUCAGACCCAUAUCACCUU
RNAcentral lists this long non-coding RNA (1938 nucleotides) under Numida meleagris (helmeted guineafowl). Its description in RNAcentral is "lncRNA (ENSNMEG00000000777.1)". The record is from RNAcentral. Lineage: Eukaryota; Metazoa; Chordata; Aves; Galliformes; Numididae.